RNAcentral lists this ribosomal RNA (2905 nucleotides) under Escherichia coli. RNAcentral's name for it is "23S ribosomal RNA". It matches the Rfam family "Bacterial large subunit ribosomal RNA". Lineage: Bacteria; Pseudomonadati; Pseudomonadota; Gammaproteobacteria; Enterobacterales; Enterobacteriaceae. The record is from RNAcentral.
GGUUAAGCGACUAAGCGUACACGGUGGAUGCCCUGGCAGUCAGAGGCGAUGAAGGACGUGCUAAUCUGCGAUAAGCGUCGGUGAGGUGAUAUGAACCGUUAUAACCGGCGAUUUCCGAAUGGGGAAACCCAGUGUGUUUCGACACACUAUCAUUAACUGAAUCCAUAGGUUAAUGAGGCGAACCGGGGGAACUGAAACAUCUAAGUACCCCGAGGAAAAGAAAUCAACCGAGAUUCCCCCAGUAGCGGCGAGCGAACGGGGAGGAGCCCAGAGCCUGAAUCAGUGUGUGUGUUAGUGGAAGCGUCUGGAAAGGCGUGCGAUACAGGGUGACAGCCCCGUACACAAAAAUGCACAUAUUGUGAGCUCGAUGAGUAGGGCGGGACACGUGGUAUCCUGUCUGAAUAUGGGGGGACCAUCCUCCAAGGCUAAAUACUCCUGACUGACCGAUAGUGAACCAGUACCGUGAGGGAAAGGCGAAAAGAACCCCGGCGAGGGGAGUGAAAAAGAACCUGAAACCGUGUACGUACAAGCAGUGGGAGCCUCUUUAUGGGGUGACUGCGUACCUUUUGUAUAAUGGGUCAGCGACUUAUAUUCUGUAGCAAGGUUAACCGAAUAGGGGAGCCGAAGGGAAACCGAGUCUUAACUGGGCGUUAAGUUGCAGGGUAUAGACCCGAAACCCGGUGAUCUAGCCAUGGGCAGGUUGAAGGUUGGGUAACACUAACUGGAGGACCGAACCGACUAAUGUUGAAAAAUUAGCGGAUGACUUGUGGCUGGGGGUGAAAGGCCAAUCAAACCGGGAGAUAGCUGGUUCUCCCCGAAAGCUAUUUAGGUAGCGCCUCGUGAAUUCAUCUCCGGGGGUAGAGCACUGUUUCGGCAAGGGGGUCAUCCCGACUUACCAACCCGAUGCAAACUGCGAAUACCGGAGAAUGUUAUCACGGGAGACACACGGCGGGUGCUAACGUCCGUCGUGAAGAGGGAAACAACCCAGACCGCCAGCUAAGGUCCCAAAGUCAUGGUUAAGUGGGAAACGAUGUGGGAAGGCCCAGACAGCCAGGAUGUUGGCUUAGAAGCAGCCAUCAUUUAAAGAAAGCGUAAUAGCUCACUGGUCGAGUCGGCCUGCGCGGAAGAUGUAACGGGGCUAAACCAUGCACCGAAGCUGCGGCAGCGACGCUUAUGCGUUGUUGGGUAGGGGAGCGUUCUGUAAGCCUGUGAAGGUGUGCUGUGAGGCAUGCUGGAGGUAUCAGAAGUGCGAAUGCUGACAUAAGUAACGAUAAAGCGGGUGAAAAGCCCGCUCGCCGGAAGACCAAGGGUUCCUGUCCAACGUUAAUCGGGGCAGGGUGAGUCGACCCCUAAGGCGAGGCCGAAAGGCGUAGUCGAUGGGAAACAGGUUAAUAUUCCUGUACUUGGUGUUACUGCGAAGGGGGGACGGAGAAGGCUAUGUUGGCCGGGCGACGGUUGUCCCGGUUUAAGCGUGUAGGCUGAUUUUCCAGGCAAAUCCGGAAAAUCAAGGCUGAGGCGUGAUGACGAGGCACUACGGUGCUGAAGCAACAAAUGCCCUGCUUCCAGGAAAAGCCUCUAAGCAUCAGGUAACAUCAAAUCGUACCCCAAACCGACACAGGUGGUCAGGUAGAGAAUACCAAGGCGCUUGAGAGAACUCGGGUGAAGGAACUAGGCAAAAUGGUGCCGUAACUUCGGGAGAAGGCACGCUGAUAUGUAGGUGAAGCGACUUGCUCGUGGAGCUGAAAUCAGUCGAAGAUACCAGCUGGCUGCAACUGUUUAUUAAAAACACAGCACUGUGCAAACACGAAAGUGGACGUAUACGGUGUGACGCCUGCCCGGUGCCGGAAGGUUAAUUGAUGGGGUUAGCGGCAACGCGAAGCUCUUGAUCGAAGCCCCGGUAAACGGCGGCCGUAACUAUAACGGUCCUAAGGUAGCGAAAUUCCUUGUCGGGUAAGUUCCGACCUGCACGAAUGGCGUAAUGAUGGCCAGGCUGUCUCCACCCGAGACUCAGUGAAAUUGAACUCGCUGUGAAGAUGCAGUGUACCCGCGGCAAGACGGAAAGACCCCGUGAACCUUUACUAUAGCUUGACACUGAACAUUGAGCCUUGAUGUGUAGGAUAGGUGGGAGGCUUUGAAGUGUGGACGCCAGUCUGCAUGGAGCCGACCUUGAAAUACCACCCUUUAAUGUUUGAUGUUCUAACGUUGGCCCGUAAUCCGGGUUGCGGACAGUGUCUGGUGGGUAGUUUGACUGGGGCGGUCUCCUCCUAAAGAGUAACGGAGGAGCACGAAGGUUGGCUAAUCCUGGUCGGACAUCAGGAGGUUAGUGCAAUGGCAUAAGCCAGCUUGACUGCGAGCGUGACGGCGCGAGCAGGUGCGAAAGCAGGUCAUAGUGAUCCGGUGGUUCUGAAUGGAAGGGCCAUCGCUCAACGGAUAAAAGGUACUCCGGGGAUAACAGGCUGAUACCGCCCAAGAGUUCAUAUCGACGGCGGUGUUUGGCACCUCGAUGUCGGCUCAUCACAUCCUGGGGCUGAAGUAGGUCCCAAGGGUAUGGCUGUUCGCCAUUUAAAGUGGUACGCGAGCUGGGUUUAGAACGUCGUGAGACAGUUCGGUCCCUAUCUGCCGUGGGCGCUGGAGAACUGAGGGGGGCUGCUCCUAGUACGAGAGGACCGGAGUGGACGCAUCACUGGUGUUCGGGUUGUCAUGCCAAUGGCACUGCCCGGUAGCUAAAUGCGGAAGAGAUAAGUGCUGAAAGCAUCUAAGCACGAAACUUGCCCCGAGAUGAGUUCUCCCUGACUCCUUGAGAGUCCUGAAGGAACGUUGAAGACGACGACGUUGAUAGGCCGGGUGUGUAAGCGCAGCGAUGCGUUGAGCUAACCGGUACUAAUGAACCGUGAGGCUUAACCUU